CAGCCUGCCGCGUGUGUGAAGAAGGUCUUCGGAUUGUAAAGCACUUUAAGUUGGGAGGAAGGGCAGUAAGUUAAUACCUUGCUGUUUUGACGUUACCGACAGAAUAAGCACCGGCUAACUCUGUGCCAGCAGCCGCCGGUAAUA
This 144-nucleotide ribosomal RNA is filed under the name uncultured bacterium. Its description in RNAcentral is "partial 16S ribosomal RNA". It matches the Rfam family "Bacterial small subunit ribosomal RNA", at positions 389 to 525 of the family's 1533-position model. The record is from RNAcentral.